Long non-coding RNA from Plodia interpunctella (Indianmeal moth), 4012 nucleotides. RefSeq lists it as uncharacterized. The record is from RefSeq and is a predicted model, not a curated record. Lineage: Eukaryota; Metazoa; Arthropoda; Insecta; Lepidoptera; Pyralidae. The transcript has 2 exons.
AGUUGCAGGUCGCCGGGUAAACUUAUGUUACAAAUUGAUGAUUGAGUUGAAGCUGAGAAAACGAGGCAAGCAAGCAAGGAGGAAGGCCAAUAUGGUCAGAUCACAGAUGAGCAAGAUUUACGACCAAAAAUACCUUCUACGCAAUCAUGAUACGAGUUUAAAAGAAAAAGGAAGGAUUUAAUGGAUGAUUGAAUAGGAUUUCAGAACACAAGUGUUAAAUAUAAGACAAAUUUGCUAAAUGAUUCAAGUCCAUUGCAAAACAAUACCAUCGUAUAAAUGACGGCUCGUGGUGCAGUGGACUGUACUGUAAUUUAUUGUAGUUUUUUCGGAGCCGGUUAAAUAAAUAUGCCGAGAUUACUUGGGAGAACUUUUUAUUGGCACUGGAGACAAAAAGGAAGAGAGCAUUCUUUUUAAUGUGAGCGUAAAUGUUGCUAUAGUAAAAAAAUAAAAAUAUAAUUUAGUGUUGGGAUUUCCAACAACCAUUAUUAUAAUUAUUGAACACUAUUGAUAUCACAUUUAACUAUUUGUGGGAUUGGGACAUGUAUAUUAUUUUCGACCAACAAUUCUUCAACAUAAUCAAUUAACCACUUCCACCCAAAAAUUAUUCAAAUCAAAAAUAUUAACACAAAAACCCGUCUAUAGGGUUAACUUCAUAUAUGACAACACAUAUUUGAUUUUUAUCUUCACGUUUAACAGCUCUUUGUCGCCUUUGAGUACACUUUUAAGACUUCAGUUUUAGACCAUGAGAAAGCUGAAGGGCGGUUAAGUCCUGAAAAUAAUAACACUAUUCUAGGUUAUGUUCUGCAUUAUUUGGUCAACUGUGGUGAUAAACUGAUAUAAACUUAAUUUUGACUGUAGAUUUUACCUGCAUGAAGUCUAUAUUUUAAUAAGUCUUCAGGUGUGAAGUGUUCCGAGCUUUUUUUGACCGUUUACUGGCUCGAAAAUGUUAGUGUGUGGCGUUUUCCAUAUAUUUCAAAGUUUUUUAUCUUUUGGAAAACGAUUUUUCCCAAUAUUUCGCCACCCGAAUAUGCAACAUUGUUGUAUAUUUUCACAAACGAAUGCUUACAUAAUGAAAGAACGAAAGUACUCUAAAAAUAAACGUUUUAAUCGACUUAGCAAAAGGCGGCAAAACUUUUGUUUACCUAACACAGUGCUGCACUCUGGCGGGAUAAAUGCGCAGUAAUACUCUCUCUAGCUUAGGGCAUUCGACAGACAUUGGAUGGAGAAGGACAAAGAAAGGGACACGUGGAAAGAGGGGGGCUUUUGCCCAGCAGUGGGACAUGUUAUAGUUACUGAAAAAAACAAAAAAAAAGAACGCUCCAAUGAAAACUAAGCGACCUUUCCUCGUACCCUGUCACAAUUUGGCGAAUGUGUUUUCUUAAAAAAAUCAUGGACAAAAUAAUGUAUAUGGAAGCGUUGUCUUUAAGGCUUGGUCUGUGCUGUGCUUGGUCACCACGAGCGACGUAAUAGCGACGAGUUUGCAUUGAAUUUUGGUAGGUUGAAGUGCUGUUGACUGUACAUAGGUACCUACACACGACUUCACGAAAAUAAGCAAAAAAAAAAAAGGUUGGGGUAAUUUAAUUGGGUAUGAAUAAUUUUAUAAAUGAAACAAUAUCAACGUCUAAAUGUGUUAUUAUUAAAAGAACAGUUUACAGAAAGUAGUUGUUGUAAAAUGAAAGGAAAAAAGGGCGUAAUAAAAUAAUUUUAAUUGAUUUACGAUUCGCGCAGGAAAAGUGGGUGGUAUUCAUCGACUCGAUGCCUAUGAUUCUAAUUCAGAACCUUUCAUGGCAUGGCACUAGUCCUCACACAGUCUCCUAUCACACUUAAUAGAAGUAAUAUAUAUAAAUAUAAUAUGCAUACAUAUAACACUCCGGAAUCUAUCUAAUAUCCUACACUGUUGACAAACAUAUUGGAAUAUACUGUUAUGUAACGUAAAAAAGUUAACGAUACACUUCUCAUAAAUAUUCUUGCAUAAUUCGCGCAAACAUCAUACCUGUCAGUGAUGCUCACAGACUAGACACAGAAAGUUUAUUUCGAAUUCCUGAAGUUAUUUCUGAAAACCACUUAUGUGACAAAAUUAAAUAAUACCACAUAUUAUUCAGAGCAACAAUAAAAAAAUGCAAAGUAUCAUAAAAAAAUAAGCAGAAGAUUUAAAGCAUAUUCGCGAAAUGUAUCUCUCAAAUAAAUCAAUAUCCAGUGAUACGUAUCAAUCCAUUUUUACGGUUUUGCAAUAAUUAUAUUAUUAGAUCUAUCAUCAAAUUCAUAUUACCAUUACGGGUGAGAGUCACCCGGCAAUGAUAAACUUUUAUUAUCUUUAUCAUUUUCGCCAUCUUUUAUUUAUGCUACUAAAUUGGUUUUCAAGUGAUUAUUUAUGCAUAAUUAAAUCCAGUUUAAUUUCUUAAAUCUAUGUAAUUCUGGCGUCAAUAAACAAAACACAAUUACGCCGUGUCGCAGUUUAUUGCAAAAACUCGUUUGCAAUAAAGAUCCUCAAUAUUUUGUAUGUGUAAAAUCGCAGCGACUCACAUUUACCUAAAAGAAGUCCCAUAAACAUUAUUUGCAUCUUAGGAAAAACGUCUGUGAAAUAUAGGAGUAAGAUGCAUUAGCACCGCAUUCAGGUUGGAAUGAGGGAAAAUAUGGAUAAUUCGUAGGCAUUUAUGUAGUCACUCACGAUCACGACAUUAAAGUUUUAUAACGAAUUAGAAGUUGCACGCAGUUCCGCUCGCGGUAGCCUAACCUGUGUUUGACCUCGGGUCAUUAACUAUAUCUAUUAUUAAGAUUUCCUUAAAAACGGCCCAGCGUUUUAGAUGUAAAAGCGUGACAGACAGACUUUAGCAUUUAUAAUAUUAGUAUAGAUAUGGAUAAGGGGGCAACUGUAAAUGUUAUAAAUUGGAAUUAAAGAUUACAGUAUAAGUAAUAGUUAUGUUGGACCUUGUUGGCUCUUUUGAGCAUCACAACUUCAGCAUUAACACACUAAUGAAUAGUUUUGUAGACCACAAUGCUUGUCUAUCGUAUUUCACUGAUGGUUGUAAUUCAUGAAAUCUUAAUUGUAGCAUAAUUAUGUCGAUGCCGCAUCUUAAAAACGUGAUUUUAUAAUAAGUUCCGUAAAGUUUACGGAGUUAUAAUGUUUGAAUUUACGGCAGAUAUAGCUAUAUGUAUUUCGCUUCCUUUUUCAAUAUUUUCCCGUAGCCAUUACGAGUUCCUUUAAAACAUUGUAACAUAAAAGACCUUUAAUUACAUAUGUACAAUAAAUGUAACACCGAGAACAAAGGCAUACUUGUUUAUUCAUCACAAAAACUGGCAUUCGUUAAAGUAAUAUAGAGUUCGAUAUUUAUAUUUCGUAGUAUAUAAAAAGGGAAUAGUCUUAUCAUUUUGAGACUAGGUGCGCACACGUAGUUUAUGUUACAAGUGUUAUACCGCCAGUAGUCAAGAAAUUUCUUUCGGUGUUAUUUCUUAAUUCAGAAGUAUAAUCUUUCUGGACGGCAGAGUAAGACACAAUUAUUACAUAGAGGAAUGCAUUGUGAUGAACAAAUAGCAUUAGUCACCAAUAUGGCGUCCUUCAGUCUCGAAUUAACGUUACGGAAUCUUACAAUACACCAACUCUCUUUAAGACACAUGCCUAAGUUACAAAACAUCUGUGUUCAUACAUUCAUCAUAUCAUUCAUACCUGGCCAAUCACAACCCCUUUCAAAUUACUUACAAAACAUAAUAAUAAUUUAUAAAAUUCAAAAUCCCUUGCACAUGUGCAUGCCUAAAAUAACAUACGUCAUCUUCCAUAAGAUCCUCUUUCAAACUAUCACUUAUCUCACAUAAGUAAAGAUACCACAGCCACUGUCUGUAUUUAUAAUACCAAAUAAGAAAAAAUGCUUCGACUUUUCAAGACAAUACAGAAAGAAUAUGGUCAGGCAUACUAAAUAAUUUCAAGAAUGUUGCGAUAGGUGCACGCAUUUCGCCAUAUUACACAACGCAAUACAAAAUAAUACACAAUUCUUCUUUCUUAAAAAAAAAAAACAAA